GGCUUAUAAUUGAAGUCUGGCAUGAAUGAAAUAAUGGGGAGUUACUGUCUUUUUGGGUUUUCAAGAACUUACUUAACAAGUGAAAAUACUUGUAAAUAAAUAAUAGACGAGAAGACCCUAGAAAUUUUUUUAAUAUUGGUUUUAUAUCUAAUUAAUUUUGCUGGGGCGGCAGAAUAACAUUAAACUUAUUUUAAUAAAUUUGAACUAUCUACUGAGUAAAAGUAAAUUACUCUAGGGAUAACAGCAUAAUUUUACAAAGUUUGUGACCUCGAUGUUGGACUAGGGACUUUAGUGUUUAGAAGAUACUAAAUCAGGCUCUGU
RNAcentral lists this ribosomal RNA (321 nucleotides) under Backeljaia gigaxii. Its description in RNAcentral is "partial 16S ribosomal RNA". The record is from RNAcentral. Lineage: Eukaryota; Metazoa; Mollusca; Gastropoda; Stylommatophora; Geomitridae.